UGGGGAAUUUUGCACAAUGGGGGAAACCCUGAUGCAGCGACGCCGCGUGAUUUAGAAGGCCUUCGGGUUGUAAAAAUCUUUUCUAUGGGAAGAAAAUGACAGUACCAUAGGAAUAAGGACCGGCUAAUUACGCGCCAGCAGCCGCGGUAAUACGUAAGGUCCGAGCGUUGUCCGGAAUCAUUGGGCGUAAAGGGUACGUAGGCGGGUAAGCAAGUUAGAAGUGAAAUCCUAUAGCUCAACUAUAGUAAGUUUUUAAAACUGCUCAUCUUGAGGUAUGGAAGAGAAAGUGGAAUUCCUAGUGUAGCGGUGAAAUGAGCAGAUAUUAGGAGGAAUACCGGUGGCGAAGGCGACUUUCUGGCCAUAACCUGACGCUGAGGUACGAAAGCGUGGGUAGCAAACAGG
This 402-nucleotide ribosomal RNA is filed under the name bacterium. RNAcentral's name for it is "partial 16S ribosomal RNA". It matches the Rfam family "Bacterial small subunit ribosomal RNA", at positions 355 to 776 of the family's 1533-position model. The record is from RNAcentral.